Molecule: ribosomal RNA, 497 nt
Filed under: uncultured bacterium
Lineage: Bacteria
Description: partial 16S ribosomal RNA
Rfam family: Bacterial small subunit ribosomal RNA
Source: RNAcentral
GAUGAACGCUGGCGGCGUGCCUAAUACAUGCAAGUCGAGCGAACAGAUAAGGAGCUUGCUCCUUUGACGUUAGCGGCGGACGGGUGAGUAACACGUGGGUAACCUACCUAUAAGACUGGGAUAACUUCGGGAAACCGGAGCUAAUACCGGAUAACAUUUGGAACCGCAUGGUUCUAAAGUGAAAGAUGGUUUUGCUAUCACUUAUAGAUGGACCCGCGCCGUAUUAGCUAGUUGGUAAGGUAACGGCUUACCAAGGCGACGAGACGUAGCCGACCUGAGAGGGUGAUCGGCCACACUGGAACUGAGACACGGUCCAGACUCCUACGGGAGGCAGCAGUAGGGAAUCUUCCGCAAUGGGCGAAAGCCUGACGGAGCAACGCCGCGUGAGUGAUGAAGGGUUUCGGCUCGUAAAACUCUGUUAUUAGGGAAGAACAAAUGUGUAAGUAACUGUGCACGUCUUGACGGUACCUAAUCAGAAAGCCACGGCUAACUACGUG